This is a small nuclear RNA of Camelus dromedarius (Arabian camel), 110 nucleotides long. The record is from Ensembl. Lineage: Eukaryota; Metazoa; Chordata; Mammalia; Artiodactyla; Camelidae.
GUGCUUGCUUUGGUAGCACAUAUGGUAAAACUGAAUGCAAAGAUUAGUGAAGACUAGCAUGGCCCCUGAAUAAAGAUAACAGACCAAUUUGUGAUACAUUCCUAUUUUUA